CCGGGGGCGGUCACUUCGGGGGCGGAGCGGGGCCGGGGGGCCGGGCCCCGGCGGUGAAGACCGGUGCUGUCACAUCGAUGAAAUCGCACGAUGUGUGAACCCGUGCUGGUUUUUCUUUCUAAUUUUUUCUAAUAAUUCUUUCUAAUAUUUAUUUAUUUACCUCUUUAAUGCAGUUCAUGUGUGUUACCAAGUGCUCCCGUGUCACCGCCCAGUUUAUAUCAUAAUAUUCGCGUUUUAUCAGGUUGUCCCUUGCUGUUGUACUUGAAGAGGUGACCAUUUGCUAAAAGUAUAUACUGUUUCUUAGAAGUCCCUGUGGAGUUGUGCUGGAUUUUGGAGUUUUGUGUUCCUGAGUUGUUUGGCUACUUCUAUUUAUUCCUCCCACUGUCAAAGAAUGCAACAAAGUUCUGUCUACACAGAAAGGAAAUGCUACAAGUAAUCCAGCCUGUUGACAGGAAGAUAAGUAAGUGGGAAAUAUGUGAUGAGAUGUUAGGCUCAAUAAAACUAUGAA
Lepidothrix coronata (blue-crowned manakin) is the source of this 508-nucleotide long non-coding RNA. RefSeq lists it as uncharacterized. The transcript has 4 exons. Lineage: Eukaryota; Metazoa; Chordata; Aves; Passeriformes; Pipridae. The record is from RefSeq and is a predicted model, not a curated record.